RNAcentral lists this transfer RNA (67 nucleotides) under Pseudoglomeris magnifica. RNAcentral's name for it is "tRNA-Pro". Lineage: Eukaryota; Metazoa; Arthropoda; Insecta; Blattodea; Blaberidae. RNAcentral also lists the same sequence under 1 other name. The record is from RNAcentral.
CAGGAAGUAGUUUAUUUUAAAAUAUUAAUUUUGGAGAUUAAUGAAAGAUAGUUAAUUUUCUUUCUGA